Non-coding RNA from Vigna umbellata (rice bean), 1165 nucleotides. Lineage: Eukaryota; Viridiplantae; Streptophyta; Magnoliopsida; Fabales; Fabaceae. The record is from RefSeq and is a predicted model, not a curated record.
AGAUAGUAGAGGUGAGAAACAAUAUAUAUCAUGUUUUUGAUGUCCAUGUUUCAUGUAAAACCAAGUUGUUGUUUUGUAUUUGUAGUAUUGCACAUGACAGAGACCAAAAGUGGGAUACAAACCAUGUAAAAGGAUAAUCUUAAGUUGGACCAUACAGUGGAUAAUUCAGACCACACUCCACUCUGUAGGGAAUAGGGACGGCAAAUCAUGACGCCACGACAAGCUAUUAACGACCUAAGAAAGGUCCAGGCCAGUGUGUACAUGUUGGAAUCUCAUCUCCAAGUUGUCAAAAUCUUUUGCCUUUUCUUUUGGUUGUCUAAGAUAUUUAUUAUUGCCUCUAGCUUCUUUCCUUUUCUUUUUCUAUUCAUCCUAGGCUUCACAAAGGCUUCACAACCAUGUCUUCCUAGUUCUGUUAAAAUAUAGUUCUUGAUGGUAACCGUUAAUUUGUUGAAGUUUUAAAGAACAACAAAACUUUCACACUGUUGAAUAAAACAAAGCACAAUUUCUAUGAUUUAGAUUAGUUUGUGCAUGUAUAUUGAUGUUCUCUUUUAUCUGGUUAUUCACCAAAAGAGAUGACAAAUGUAUUGUUUUUCACAUACCCAAACAAAAAUUAAUGUGAAACUUUUAAACAAAAUAUCUUAAACCAUAAGGACAUAAUACAAAAUCCUAAGACAAAGUUUGUUGCAUAUCCAUAUUAUAUUUCAUACUAUUUAAACUCUGCACAUUGAUCCUAGUUUGUUCACUUGUGACCCAUUUGAUCAAUGUGUAUUAUGCAGGUAAUCAUUCAGAGUUUUCUUUGCUACAUUAUUGGUCUCUAUGUUCAUCCCAAUAUGGGCUAAUAUGUACCACUUGGGGUCAAAUUAAGGGUUCAGAUUAUCCAUUGUUGGUGUUUAAAUUGUGGCUAUUUAUAAGUGGGAAUUUUGCUACCCCUCCAUGUGGAUUGGAAGCAACAACUUUAUGCUGAAGGGGAAGUUUCAACUGAUUCUCCCAUUGGUUCAUAUGCCAAGGCUAAGUCAUCUAUGGACUUUUAUAUUUCUGUGCUGCACCAAGGGGAUAGAGUACCAUAUUUUGAAGUGUUUAUUUUAAGAUUGAAUCAAAGACAUUCAACUUCAAUUGCUGUUUUAAUAAUUUUUUGCACUGCCGAAGAAAGAUUGAGAUAUUUUUU